This 35-nucleotide small RNA is filed under the name Bombyx mori (domestic silkworm). RNAcentral's name for it is "ovarian small RNA-6971". Lineage: Eukaryota; Metazoa; Arthropoda; Insecta; Lepidoptera; Bombycidae. The record is from RNAcentral.
UCAGAUUUGGGACAAUCAACGCUUACUUCCCGCGU